ACACGUCCCUUUCUGAGCCUACUUUCAUAUGAGUCCUUCUGCUCACCAAAACUCCAAAAUUUCUCACAAUAAACCUUUUCACGCAUUGCACUUUUGUAAAAAUUGCAAUUUAACCUCUUUGAUACACAAUUUCUUACUCAAAACUCACCCGCAUAUGUGUUUUUCCAGUAAGUUACACCACCUCAAAAAUUAAGUAAUUUGACACAUAAAAUAUC
RNAcentral lists this long non-coding RNA (215 nucleotides) under Ananas comosus (pineapple). RNAcentral describes it as "long non-coding RNA (ACOM_LNC016614)". The record is from RNAcentral. Lineage: Eukaryota; Viridiplantae; Streptophyta; Magnoliopsida; Poales; Bromeliaceae.